CUCUGUGAAGUGCGACACACUCGCCCUCACGACCGUCCAGGCACGCACCUGAAUAAUCUGCAGGCGCAACGCAAAGAAGCGGCAACGCCCGUCCGACAGAGCGCGAGCCACCGCCACCGCCACCACCACACACACACACACACACACACACUUCGGCAAGAGGGCGAAAAUGCCCGGACUUGAGAAAAAAGAUAUAAUCUCCACCCCGGUCCCGUUCCCGACGAUCCCCAUCCAGGCAGUGCCCCGCAACAAGCGUUCGUGGGUGCAGAACAACUGGUGGGUGCUGCUCACGAUCGAGUGCCUGGCCCUCUUCGUCGCCUUCGCGGCCCUGCUAGCCUACUACCUGCUCUACGUUCGUACCCCAGGGAGGCGUCUGCUCGAGGACAAGGUGGACAAAGAUGGCCUUAGCCAUUACGGCAGUGAGCUCAGCAGCCGCUCUAGCAGCGUCGAGUUGGAGGAGAGCAGAGCCUCCUGCAAGUGCAGCACCACCACGAAGCGCAGCUUCGCAGGGAAUGCGGCCGGUGGCACGGUUGACAGUAGAAAGUCGCACAGGUCAACGCCUGAGGUGGUGUCCGCGCAGAGCCUGCAUAGCAAGACCACGAGCAGCCACAAGCGAGACUAAUUGGGCGUACGGGCAGCAACGUUGCCGAUGAGAGGAGGAACGAGGAUGCUCUGACCGGGGAAAGACGGAGUGGAGCUAGUCAACUCGGCUGCACACCGAGACUAUGUGUGCUCCGCCAUCCCGGUGAGAGCGCUGUGCGCCGAGACAUACACGCGCACGGAGAGACGAAGAGAAUGUCGGUGAACCUUGAUACUGCGACGCUGGGCACAUGCGCAUCCCAAAACAAGGGGAGGACAAGAGAUAGCCUGAAGAGCUGUCAUGCGUGCGUGUGCGUGUGUGUGUGUGUGUGUGGAUGGGCGUUUUUACGGUCAUGUCUGCAUCUCUUUCCCGUCUUUGCAGUGCCCUUAUUUUCCUUCGUUUUGUUUUACUGCUUUCCGCCCUCCCCGUCCUCCUCUCUGUCGCGUUGCCAUCGUCAUCAUCGAGGUGUGCGCAGAGAUGUGUAAAGCUAUCCUUCUCUCUUCGUGUUUGUGUACACUUGUCUAUGUGCUGGUAUACGUGUAUGUAUGUGUGUGCGCGCAUCUCUGCGUGGGUAUCCUACAGCCGCUAGUUGCAAUGACAUCUUCUCAUUAUGUUAUUUUUUGUUUUUGUUGUUCUAUCCCCCCCCCCUUCUCUCGAAAGGAGGCGGGGGUGGCGUACACUUCUCUACUUCGGCCAUCUCCCUCUGGUCGAUCCUACUUGCUUUUCUCUCACGCAUCCUUUUCGGUCUUCAUC
This 1333-nucleotide unclassified non-coding RNA is filed under the name Leishmania donovani. RNAcentral's name for it is "gene:LdHU3.13.1410(CDS-product:hypothetical_prote in_conserved)". Lineage: Eukaryota; Euglenozoa; Kinetoplastea; Trypanosomatida; Trypanosomatidae. The record is from RNAcentral.